UCGCUCGUGAGGGCGAAUCUGAAGGAAGUCGACGACAACAAAUCCGUAAUCAAA
Non-coding RNA from Proteiniphilum acetatigenes, 54 nucleotides. Lineage: Bacteria; Pseudomonadati; Bacteroidota; Bacteroidia; Bacteroidales; Dysgonomonadaceae. The record is from Rfam.